This 420-nucleotide ribosomal RNA is filed under the name bacterium. RNAcentral's name for it is "partial 16S ribosomal RNA". It matches the Rfam family "Bacterial small subunit ribosomal RNA", at positions 355 to 776 of the family's 1533-position model. The record is from RNAcentral.
UGGGGGAUAUUGCACAAUGGGCGAAAGCCUGAUGCAGCGACGCCGCGUGGGGGAUGAAGGCUUUCGGGUUGUAAACCUCUUUCGCUAUCGAACAAGGCCCGCUUAGGGUGGGUUGAGGGUAGGUGGAGAAGAAGCGCCGGCUAACUACGUGCCAGCAGCCGCGGUAAUACGUAGGGCGCGAGCGUUGUCCGGAAUUAUUGGGCGUAAAGGGCUUGUAGGCGGCUUGUUGCGCCUGCUGUGAAAACGCGGGGCUUAACUUCGCGCGUGCAGUGGGUACGGGCAGGCUUGAGUGUGGUAGGGGUGACUGGAAUUCCAGGUGUAGCGGUGGAAUGCGCAGAGAUCUGGAGGAACACCGAGGGCGAAGGCAGGUCACUGGGCCAUUACUGACGCUGAGGAGCGAAAGCAUGGGUAGCGAACAGG